UAUAUAACUGAUUUCUCCAUUUUUCUGUCAAACUAUGUAAUUAGGGAAACAUCAUUCUUCCUAAGACUCUUCAAGGCUUUACUUAACCCAAUUGAGACAGGGAUUCUUCUCAAGACGUAUCAUCCCCUUUCCUCACAAACUUCUCCUACAUAAAAUGUUUAAAGAAAAUAACCCUUAUUUCUUCACACAUUGAUAACACUGCCUCCUGCCCUCACACUGUUCACAUUCACAGUUUGGAGAAAUGACUGUCAGUCUCACUGGGCCACUGUGGGUGGGGCUUCCUGUUAAGAUGAAUGACAGAGCUCAGGUGUGAUUGGUGCUCAGUGAGUCUGGUGGAACCUGAUGACAGUAAGAACACGUUUGUCUGCACCCAGACGCGACACCCUCCAGAGCAGGGGAGAAGCCACCCCAGCAACCAGGAAGGGGCCAUGGAGAGGAGACUGGGAAGUCUGCUGGGGCUUCUGUGGCUCCAGGUUUGCUGGGUGAGAGGGCUGGAAGUGCAGCAGAGCCCUUCAGUCCUGAGUCUCCAGGAGGGAUCCAGCCCUACUCUGAGGUGCAAUUUUUCUGCUGCCGUGUACAAUAUGCAGUGGUUCCGACAGAAUCCUGGGGGCAGCCUCAUCAGUUUGUUUUUCAUGACUUCAGGGACAAAGCAGAACGGAAGGUUAAAUUCAACAAUGAAUUCUAAGGAACUCUAUAGUGCCCUACACAUCACAGCCACCCAGCUGGAGGACUCAGGCACCUACCUCUGUGCAGCAGAGGAAGCACAGUGCUCUCAGGCAGUCUGUGGCCUGAACCCAAACUGCAGCUGGGCCUGCAGCCACAGUCUCUGACCCAGGGAAGACUUGCACAGCAGCAUUUGCACAGCUUUAGGUUUCCUGAUUC
Lemur catta (Ring-tailed lemur) is the source of this 882-nucleotide non-coding RNA. NCBI's taxonomy places the organism in Eukaryota, Metazoa, Chordata, Mammalia, Primates, Lemuridae. The record is from the annotation of a RefSeq genome assembly.